RNAcentral lists this transfer RNA (85 nucleotides) under Jiulongibacter sediminis. RNAcentral describes it as "Leadbetterella sp. JN14-9 tRNA". It matches the Rfam family "tRNA". From Rfam's summary of the family: Transfer RNA (tRNA) molecules are approximately 80 nucleotides in length. Their secondary structure includes four short double-helical elements and three loops (D, anti-codon, and T loops). Lineage: Bacteria; Pseudomonadati; Bacteroidota; Cytophagia; Cytophagales; Leadbetterellaceae. The record is from Rfam by way of RNAcentral.
AGAGGGAUGGCAGAGUGGUCGAAUGCGGCGGUCUUGAAAACCGUUGACUGUCAAAGGUCCGGGGGUUCGAAUCCCUCUCCCUCUG